CCUACGGGGGGCAGCAGUAGGGAAUCUUCCACAAUGGGCGCAAGCCUGAUGGAGCAACACCGCGUGAGUGAAGAAGGGUUUCGGCUCGUAAAGCUCUGUUGUUGAAGAAGAACGUGCAUGAGAGUAACUGUUCAUGCAGUGACGGUAUUCAACCAGAAAGUCACGGCUAACUACGUGCCAGCAGCCGCGGUAAUACGUAGGUGGCAAGCGUUAUCCGGAUUUAUUGGGCGUAAAGAGAGUGCAGGCGGUUUCUUAAAUCUGAUGUGAAAGCCUUCGGCUCAACCGAAGAAGUGCAUCGGAAACUGGGAGACUUGAGUACAGAAGAGGGCAGUGGAACUCCAUGUGUAGCGGUGGAAUGCGUAGAUAUAUGGAAGAACACCAGUGGCGAAGGCGGCUGCCUGGUCUGUAACUGACGCUGAGACUCGAAAGCAUGGGUAGCGAACAGGAUUAGAUACCCUAGUAGUC
RNAcentral lists this ribosomal RNA (465 nucleotides) under uncultured Lactobacillus sp. RNAcentral's name for it is "bacterial SSU rRNA". It matches the Rfam family "Bacterial small subunit ribosomal RNA", at positions 338 to 795 of the family's 1533-position model. The record is from RNAcentral. Lineage: Bacteria; Bacillati; Bacillota; Bacilli; Lactobacillales; Lactobacillaceae.